This 382-nucleotide RNase P RNA is filed under the name Pichia membranifaciens. RNAcentral's name for it is "Nuclear RNase P". It matches the Rfam family "Nuclear RNase P". Rfam says of the family: Ribonuclease P (RNase P) is a ubiquitous endoribonuclease, found in archaea, bacteria and eukarya as well as chloroplasts and mitochondria. Its best characterised activity is the generation of mature 5'-ends of tRNAs by cleaving the 5'-leader elements of precursor-tRNAs. The record is from Rfam by way of RNAcentral. Lineage: Eukaryota; Fungi; Ascomycota; Pichiomycetes; Pichiales; Pichiaceae.
AGCCCGCACUAAUCCAUGCGUACUCGCCCACACAAGGGCCGCCCUCCCGGGGGCGGCAAGUAUUCAGCGCGAGUGGGAAAUUCGGUGGUUUACCCCGUCCCGCCCCCCACAGUUCGCCGUGGGGGGUCGUAACCGCCGGCGUGCGACAGCCCGCUGUUGCCCGCCGGCUCCUCCUGAGAGGUCUUCUGGGCGUGAAAGCGCCGGGCAGUUCCACAAGAAAUUACUGCUGGGCCUCCCCUACUCGUGGGGAGGGGCCCGGCAAUGGGAGCGUUCUGCGGACGAUUGGCCCGGCGACCCCCCCGCGGGCCGCCGGACUGUUGAGUGCAAUGCAUGGAUCCCAGCCGCCCGGCUGGGAAACUCGAUACCGAUCAUUAUGCCGGCU